GAAGAGCUCCGCAAAGGUUUCCUGAAACUGCGCCGAACGGUCCAGGAGCGGAUGAG
RNAcentral lists this unclassified non-coding RNA (56 nucleotides) under plant metagenome. RNAcentral describes it as "partial contains 5.8S ribosomal RNA, internal transcribed spacer 2, and large subunit ribosomal RNA". The record is from RNAcentral.